AUGGCUAGCACUUUUACCCCUCCUUUGUCUCUUGACUUUGAGGUCCUUCACUUCAAACAAACACAAGGAGAAAAUUUGAAGGAUGCUUGGUAUAGGGUGAUAGAAUCCUAUCAUAAUUGCACUAUAGAGGGGGAUUUCAAGAUUUUACUUCGUAAUUUUUAUGUUGGGCUAAACAUGUCUCAUAGGCAACUUUUGGAUAUUGCUGCUAAGGGGAAUUUUAUUGAAAUAGAUCCCAACACUGCUCAUGAAAUAAUAGAGGGGAUAGUAGGAAUAUUCCCCCACAAAAAGGAUUACAUCAAACUCAAGAAGGAGCACAAGUUUUUGAGAAACUAUGUGAAGUAA
RNAcentral lists this ribosomal RNA (342 nucleotides) under Triticum aestivum (bread wheat). Its description in RNAcentral is "partial small subunit ribosomal RNA". Lineage: Eukaryota; Viridiplantae; Streptophyta; Magnoliopsida; Poales; Poaceae. The record is from RNAcentral.